AAUGAAGAGGAAUGUUUAGUGGCGGACUGGUGAGUAACGCGUGAGGAACCUGCCUUUCAGAGGGGGACGAACAGUUGGAAACGACUGCUAAUACCGCAUGAAGCAGCGAGGGGACAUCCCCUUGCUGUCAAAGAUUUAUCGCUGAAAGAUGGCCUCGCGUCUGAUUAGCUAGUUGGUGGGGUAACGGGCUCACCAAGGCGACGAUCAGUAGCCGGACUGAGAGGUUGACCGGCCACAUUGGGACUGAGAUACGGCCCAGACUCCUACGGGAGGCAGCAGUGGGGAAUAUUGGGCAAUGGACGCAAGUCCUGACCCAGCAACGCCGCGUGAAGGAAGAAGGCUUUCGGGUUGUAAACUUCUUUUAACAGGGAAGAGAAGAAGACGGUACCUGUUGAAUAAGCCACGGCUAACUACGUGCCAGCAGCAGC
This 428-nucleotide ribosomal RNA is filed under the name uncultured bacterium. Its description in RNAcentral is "bacterial SSU rRNA". It matches the Rfam family "Bacterial small subunit ribosomal RNA", at positions 79 to 518 of the family's 1533-position model. The record is from RNAcentral.